Molecule: long non-coding RNA, 622 nt
Organism: Oreochromis aureus
Lineage: Eukaryota; Metazoa; Chordata; Actinopteri; Cichliformes; Cichlidae
Source: Ensembl
AAGCACCCUGAAAACAUUCCAGAAAUUUCAGCAAAUUUCUGUGGUCAAAGCCUGAGGAGAGACAGGGAAGACACAAGCCCACACGCAAGGAGAGCCUUUCAGAGCAGGAGGCCUCCACUCAGGGAAGCUCCUGACAAGGCCUGUCGCUGUCUUCUGUUCCUGUCUGUGCUCGUCUUCCUGCAGAUCUACACAGAGGAGCCACACACCUGCACAGUGGUUGAGAGCCAAUGCCCAGAUCCAGCAGUGUGUCAACUUGAGGCUGGUGAUGGGAGCCUAGGCACAUCCCAAGGAUGGACAGCGGAGGAGCCCUGGAGGAUUCAAACAGUGGAUCGAGGAUCAGAGACACAGGUGGAGUGUGUGGUGGCAUGAUGGAGGACAAAGACACUAAAUGCGAACUGAGUGAAUGAGAAAAGGGUAAAAGAGAGGAAUAGCCACACAGAUAAGGUUAAGUUCGAAUACUGUGUGGAGAUGGUUUCCUCUGAAAAAACAUUUCUAGUUUGAUUGGGGAUGGACAGUGGUGGUUUCCAAAGAAUGUGCUCCACCUGUUCUGCCACUGCCACUUAGAUGACACUCCAGCUCUACAAGAGCAGUUAUGUGGGACAGUGAAACGUGGAUGAGUACA